AAGAAUAAUUAGUUCUCUCUCUUGUUUAUAGGGAGAGAAAAUCCUCUCAACCAGUUUCUCGUCGUUGGUUUCCUCUUGGGUUUUGCCGAGCGUGCUCUCCAUCUAGCUUCCCUUGUCCUUUGGGGCAAGGGAAGAUGGUGUGUUCCGGCUCGAUCGUGGUUUCCCAUCCCACCUUGGGUUGGUUGUCUAUAGUUUUUGAUGUUGUCUUGUUGAUAACAGACCCUGAAUCUUCAUAAAGAGGGCGAAUUGCUGAUGGUCUAUGAGUAGGAAGCAGUUUUAGUAGUUAUAUUUGCAGGUGUUGUUUUCUCCUGGAUCUGGAUGUUGUGCUCUGUUUGAGGGAAAUGGUUAAUCUUGUUUUAGACGUUUGCA
This 369-nucleotide unclassified non-coding RNA is filed under the name Hevea brasiliensis (rubber tree). The record is from RNAcentral. Lineage: Eukaryota; Viridiplantae; Streptophyta; Magnoliopsida; Malpighiales; Euphorbiaceae.